RNAcentral lists this ribosomal RNA (162 nucleotides) under uncultured Dialister sp. Its description in RNAcentral is "partial 16S ribosomal RNA". It matches the Rfam family "Bacterial small subunit ribosomal RNA", at positions 372 to 524 of the family's 1533-position model. Lineage: Bacteria; Bacillati; Bacillota; Negativicutes; Veillonellales; Veillonellaceae. The record is from RNAcentral.
UGGACGAAAGUUUGACGGAGCAACGCCGCGUGAACGAAGAAGGUCUUCGGAUUGUAAAGUUCUGUGAUUCGGGACGAAAAGGGUUUGUGGUGAAUAAUCAUAGACAUUGACGGUACCGAAAAAGCAAGCCACGGCUAACUACGUGCCAGCAGCCGCGGUAAU